This 125-nucleotide ribosomal RNA is filed under the name Dictyosporiaceae sp. RNAcentral's name for it is "partial small subunit ribosomal RNA". It matches the Rfam family "Eukaryotic small subunit ribosomal RNA", at positions 1657 to 1779 of the family's 1831-position model. Lineage: Eukaryota; Fungi; Ascomycota; Dothideomycetes; Pleosporales; Dictyosporiaceae. The record is from RNAcentral.
CCUUUGUACACACCGCCCGUCGCUACUACCGAUUGAAUGGCUCAGUGAGGCCUUCGGACUGGCUCGGGGAGGUUGGCAACGACCACCCCGAGCCGGAAAGUUGAACAAACUCGGUCAUUUAGAGG